RNAcentral lists this small nucleolar RNA (137 nucleotides) under Procavia capensis (Cape rock hyrax). Its description in RNAcentral is "Small nucleolar RNA SNORA29 (ENSPCAG00000019254.1)". It matches the Rfam family "Small nucleolar RNA SNORA29". From Rfam's summary of the family: ACA29 is a member of the H/ACA class of snoRNA that guide the sites of modification of uridines to pseudouridines. Lineage: Eukaryota; Metazoa; Chordata; Mammalia; Hyracoidea; Procaviidae. The record is from RNAcentral.
UUUCCCAUAUGACUACCACUUCAGAUCUUAAUAGUAGAUUGUAGUGGUUAUGCUUGUGGGAUAGAUCAGAAUUGCCAUGAUCUGAAGGAGGAGGGUUGUUUGUCCUCCUCCUUUAUGAAAUGGCUGUACAGAAAUUU